Molecule: ribosomal RNA, 443 nt
Filed under: uncultured bacterium
Lineage: Bacteria
Description: partial 16S ribosomal RNA
Rfam family: Bacterial small subunit ribosomal RNA
Source: RNAcentral
CCUACGGGUGGCAGCAGUGGGGAAUAUUGCACAAUGGGCGAAAGCCUGAUGCAGCAACGCCGCGUGAAGGAAGAAGGGUUUCGGCUCGUAAACUUCUAUCAUCAGGGACUAAAGAAAUGCAGGUACCUGAUUUAGAAGCUCCGGCUAACUACGUGACAGCAGCCGCGGUAAUACGGAGGAGGCAAGCGUUAUCCGGACUUACUGGGUGUAGAGGGUGAGUAGGCGGCAUGGUAAGCCAGAUGUGAAAGCCUUGGGCUUAACCCGAGGAUUGCAUUUGGAACUAUCAAGCUAGAGUACAGGAGAGGAAAGCGGAAUUCGUAGUGUAGCGGUGAAAUGCGUAGAUAUUAGGAAGAACACCAGUGGCGAAGGCGACUUUCUGGACUGAAACUGACGCUGAGGCACGAAAGCGUGGGGAGCGAACAGGAUUAGAUACCCUAGUAGUC